AACUCGAUAAAUUCCCGUGUGUCU
RNAcentral lists this non-coding RNA (24 nucleotides) under Arabidopsis thaliana (thale cress). Lineage: Eukaryota; Viridiplantae; Streptophyta; Magnoliopsida; Brassicales; Brassicaceae. The record is from RNAcentral.